This 614-nucleotide ribosomal RNA is filed under the name Xanthandrus plaumanni. RNAcentral's name for it is "eukaryotic LSU rRNA". It matches the Rfam family "Eukaryotic large subunit ribosomal RNA", at positions 386 to 826 of the family's 3401-position model. The record is from RNAcentral. Lineage: Eukaryota; Metazoa; Arthropoda; Insecta; Diptera; Syrphidae.
AGUUCAAGAGUACGUGAAACUGCUUAGAGGUUAAACCCGAUGAACCUGAAUAUCCAUUAUGGAAAAUUCAUCAUUAAUGAUAUGAUAUAUUUUAUAUCAUAGAAAUAGUGUGCAAUUUUUCCAUAUAAGGACAUUGUAAUUUGUUAAUGUAUAAAUAUUUAUCAAAAGAUCUUUUACUUAAGUUUAUUUAAAUUAGUUAUCUUCGGAUUGCUAACAUAAAAUAAAUGUAAUUGAUUUGAUAAAUCAUUGACAAAUUAAUUAUAUAUUGUGCUAAAAUUUUACGGAAUUUUACAAUGAUGAAUAAAUCCGUUGAUUUAUUCGUUUGAGUUGUAAGCACUUUUAUGAUUAACAAUGCGAUAGAUUCAGGAUACCUUCGGGACCCGUCUUGAAACACGGACCAAGGAGUCUAACAUAUGUGCAAGUCAUUGGGUAUUUUGAAUAAAACCCAAUGGCAUAAUUAACUUAACUAUUAAAAUGGGAUUAAUUUAUAUUUUAUUAUGAAAUAUUAAUUCAAUCCCGGGGCGUUCUAUACAGUUAUGCAUAAUGAUAUUUAUAUUAUUUAUGCCUCUAACUAGAGCGUACCUUGAGCAUAUAUGCUGUGACCCGAAAGAUGG